GGGAGAAAGGAAGGAAAAGGAGGGGGAAAGAGGAAGGGAAAAAGGGAGAGGGGAAGGAAAGAGAAAAGGGAGGGGGAGAGAGGUAGGGAAGAGGAAACGGAGAGGGAGAAAAGGAAAAGGAAUGAGGGAAGAGUGAGGAAAUGCAAUGGAAGUGUGAGAAAAUGAGCGGAGGGUAGAAAUGGGAUGGAAAGGUGGGAGAAAAUGGGGAAGGUUGGGAAGAGGAGAGAAAAAGGAGGGGAAAAUGGGGGGGAAUUCGGGGAGAAAAGGAAGAAUAGGGAGAGAGGAAUGGGAGCAGUGGGAUAAAGGUGGGGGAAAUGGGAUCAGAAACGUGGAUGGAAUAAAGCUGAGGAAAAUGAGGGAAAGAUGGAAUAAAUGACAGAAAAUGGGGCAAAAUGGAACAAAGGUGAGAAGAAAUCGAGGGGAGAAAUGGAAUUAUGAAAGAGAACGGAAUAAAGAUGGGAAAAAACGGAGUAAAAACGGAAUAAAAAAUGAGGAAAAAGGGAAUGUGAGAGAAAAAUGGAGGAAAAAUGGAGUAAAAAUGAGGAGAAUGGAAUCAAGGUGAGAAAAAACGAGGGGAAAAUGGAAUCGAGAGGAGAAAAAAAUGGCAUUAAAACCUGGAAUAAAGAUGAGAAAAAAAAAAAAGAGGGAAAAGACGGAAAAGAAUAAAAGAAAAAGGGGCGAAAAAGCAGCGAAAGACUGCAAAAUGAGAGCAAAGUGAGGGGCAAAAAGGGGCCGACGGCGCAUUGCGUGCUCACUGCAGAGGCAAACAACGGUGCCGCAGCCGCACGUGGGUCGGUGCACGCAGCACCAAUGGCCAAAAGGUUGGGGGUUUGUGUCGCUGCCGCGUGGUUUUGGGCCGAAAAAGGCCGAUUUUGGGGCGCGGAGGUGAGUAUGGGGCGAGCGGCGGUUGCUUAUUUGUGCCUGUUAACAAACUCUGGUUUUGUGUGCUGCAGGUGUGAAAGGCAGCGACACUUUGCAAUGCUCCGCCUUUAUCCGCAGCUUUUGGGUUCAAAAAAAAGGCAGAAAGGGGGAAAAAAAUAAAAAAAAAAAAUAAAAGGAAAAAACAAAUGGAGAAAAAAAAAAAAAAAAAAGGAGAAAAUAGACCAAAUAAUAAUAAUAAGGAAAAAGAGGGGAAAAAAAGCAAUGAAGAGAGAGAGGAGAAAGGGAGGGGGGAGCGUCCUGUGGGGGCUCUGCUGCAAGCAGCCGGCGAGGCCAAAAAGGGCCCCAGAAAGGCCAGAAAAGGCCCCAAAAUGGCCAAAAGAAACCCCACAAAGGCCAAAAAAGACCUCAGGAAGGCCAAAAAAGGCCCCAAAAGGGCCAAAAAAGGCUCUAAAAGGGCCCAAAAAAAUCCCCAGAAAGGCCAAAAAGGGCUCUAAAAGAGCCAAAAAAGACCCCAGAAAGACCAGAAAAGGCCCCUGAAAGACCAAAAAAGACUCCAAAAGGGCCAAAAUUACCCCCAAAAGGCACCAAAAGGGCCAAGAAAGGCCGAAAAAGACCCCAAAAGGGCCAAAAACGGCCCCAAAAAGGCCCCCAAAAAAGGGCCACAGGGCUUUUAUUUUUGAGGUCAGAAAGUGCCAAAGAGCCAUUUUUGGAGCGGCCCCCCCCAAAAAAAGGCAGAUUUGGGUUUUUCCCAACUUUUGGAUACAGUAAAAUGAGAUGGGGGGGGGGGGGCGGUCCUACAGGGGGGGGGUCUGCAGAAAGCAGGGAAAAAACCCCAUAGAAAAACGCCCCCCAAAGGGCCACAUUGCCCGGGGUUCAUUUUUUUAGGGUCAAACGGCCGUUUGAUUUGGGCAUUUUUGUGGUUUUUGGUUUUUUUUUUCCCCAACUUUAGGAUUCAUUUUGGGGGGGGGGGAACGACCCACAACCGUGUGGGGUGUGCGGAAAGCAGGGAAAACGACCCCAAAAAAAGGGGGCCAAAGCCUUUUUGUACGCCGGGCCCAAAGGUGCCCCGCAGGGAUCCUUCAGAACGGCCGCAAAGAGCUCCAAUCGGCGUUUUUAGCCAUUUUCUGACCCCCCCCCCCCCCAAAAUCCCACCCAAUCCCACCCCACCCCCCCAUUGGGCAGCGCUGCGUGCGAGAGGAGCGUCAACGACGGAUGGAGACCCCCAAAACCCCCCCCAAAAUACCCCAAAACCGCC
Molecule: long non-coding RNA, 2137 nt
Filed under: Gallus gallus (chicken)
Lineage: Eukaryota; Metazoa; Chordata; Aves; Galliformes; Phasianidae
Description: lncRNA (ENSGALG00010000707.1)
Source: RNAcentral